Molecule: unclassified non-coding RNA, 242 nt
Filed under: fungal sp.
Lineage: Eukaryota; Fungi
Description: partial internal transcribed spacer region
Rfam family: Eukaryotic small subunit ribosomal RNA (bases 1-46)
Source: RNAcentral
AAGUCGUAACAAGGUUUCCGUAGGUGAACCUGCGGAAGGAUCAUUAACAGUGCUUUUUGUAUGCAAAUACAAUCUCACUAACCAACCAUGUGUGAACCGUUUUGACUGCCCAAAUGUGCGGGUACCCAGUAGUAAUGCGGGUAUGGCUGCACAUUUUUAUUUUAACCUGUCUUUGUUGUACUGAAUAGUAAAGCUUAGUUGAAAAACUUGCAAAACUUUUAGCAAUGGAUCUCUAGGCUCUU